CGGGUGAGUAACACGUAUCCAACCUGCCGUCUACUCUUGGACAGCCUUCUGAAAGGAAGAUUAAUACAAGAUGGCAUCAUGAGUCCACAUGUUCACAUGAUUAAAGGUAUUCCGGCAGACGAUGGGGAUGCGUUCCAUUAGAUAGUAGGCGGGGUAACGGCCCACCUAGUCUUCGAUGGAUAGGGGUUCUGAGAGGAAGGUCCCCCACAUUGGAACUGAGACACGGUCCAA
RNAcentral lists this ribosomal RNA (231 nucleotides) under uncultured bacterium. RNAcentral's name for it is "partial 16S ribosomal RNA". It matches the Rfam family "Bacterial small subunit ribosomal RNA", at positions 103 to 334 of the family's 1533-position model. The record is from RNAcentral.